AGUGAACGCUGGCGGUAGGCCUAACACAUGCAAGUCGAACGGCAGCACAGUAAGAGCUUGCUCUUACGGGUGGCGAGUGGCGGACGGGUGAGGAAUACAUCUGAAUCUACUUUUUCGUGGGGGAUAACGUAGGGAAACUUACGCUAAUACCGCAUACGACCUACGGGUGAAAGCAGGGGAUCUUCGGACCUUGCGCGAUUGAAUGAGCCGAUGUCGGAUUAGCUAGUUGGCGGGGUAAAGGCCCACCAAGGCGACGAUCCGUAGCUGGUCUGAGAGGAUGAUCGGCCACACUGGAACUGAGACACGGUCCAGACUCCUACGGGAGGCAGCAGUGGGGAAUAGUGGACAAUGGGCGCAAGCCUGAUCCAGCCAUACCGCGUGGGUGGAGAAGGCCUUCGGGUUGGAAAGCCCUUUUGUUGGGAAAGAAAAGCAGCAGGUUAAUACCCCGCUGUUCUGACGGUACCCAAAGAAUAAGCACCGGCUAACUUCGUG
This 492-nucleotide ribosomal RNA is filed under the name uncultured bacterium. RNAcentral's name for it is "partial 16S ribosomal RNA". It matches the Rfam family "Bacterial small subunit ribosomal RNA", at positions 29 to 507 of the family's 1533-position model. The record is from RNAcentral.